Molecule: ribosomal RNA, 462 nt
Filed under: uncultured bacterium
Lineage: Bacteria
Description: partial 16S ribosomal RNA
Rfam family: Bacterial small subunit ribosomal RNA
Source: RNAcentral
AACAAACGCUGGCGGCGUGCCUAAUACAUGCAAGUCGAACGGGGAAAGCUUUCGGGUGAGUACUAGUGGCGCACGGGUGAGGAACGCGUGGAUAAUCUGCCUUAGAGUGGGGGAUAACUAGUCGAAAGAUUAGCUAAUACCGCAUAAGACCACGAGAGCUGCGGCUUUUGAGGUCAAAGGUUUUUCGCUCUAAGAUGAGUCCGCGUAAGAUUAGCUAGUUGGUGAGGUAACGGCUCACCAAGGCGACGAUCUUUAACUGGUCUGAGAGGAUGAUCAGUCACACUGGAACUGAGACACGGUCCAGACUCCUACGGGAGGCGGCAGUAGGGAAUAUUGCACAAUGGAGGAAACUCUGAUGCAGCGACGCCGCGUGAGUGAUGAAGGCCUUCGGGUCGUAAAGCUCUGUCGCAGGGGAAUAACACAAUGAAGGUACCCUGUAAGAAAGGGUCGGCUAACUUCGUG